Molecule: ribosomal RNA, 253 nt
Filed under: uncultured bacterium
Lineage: Bacteria
Description: partial 16S ribosomal RNA
Rfam family: Bacterial small subunit ribosomal RNA
Source: RNAcentral
UACAGAGGUCCCGAGCGUUGUUCGGAUUCACUGGGCGUAAAGGGUGCGUAGGUGGUUAGGUAAGUCCGAUGUGAAAUCUCCAGGCUCAACCUGGAAAUGGCAUUGGAUACUAUUUAGCUUGAGGAGUGGAGGGGGGACUGGAAUUCUCGGUGUAGCAGUGAAAUGCGUAGAUAUCGAGAGGAACACCAGUGGCGAAGGCGGUUACCUGGAGCUUUGCUGACGCUGAUGCGCGAAAGCGUGGGGAGCGAUCCGG